RNAcentral lists this ribosomal RNA (569 nucleotides) under uncultured bacterium. RNAcentral's name for it is "partial 16S ribosomal RNA". It matches the Rfam family "Bacterial small subunit ribosomal RNA", at positions 355 to 918 of the family's 1533-position model. The record is from RNAcentral.
CUAAGAAUAUUCCGCAAUGGACGGAAGUCUGACGGAGCGACGCCGCGUGGAUGAAGAAGGCCGAAAGGUUGUAAAGUUCUUUUGCUGGGGAAGAAUAACCGCAGGAGGGAAUGCCUGUGGGAUGACAAGAACCGGCGAAUAAGCCCCGGCCAACUACGUGCCAGCAGCCGCGGUAACACGUAGGGGGGCGAGCGUUGUUCGGAAUUACUGGGCGUAAAGGGCAUGUAGGCGGCUUGGAAAGCCUGGCGUGAAAGUCUGCAGCUUAACUGCAGGGGUGCGCUGGGAACUGCUGAGCUUGAGUGACGGAGAGGGAGCUGGAAUUCCUGGUGUAGGGGUGAAAUCUGUAGAUAUCAGGAAGAACACCGAUGGCGAAGGCAAGCUCCUGGCCGAUGACUGACGCUGAGGUGCGAAAGUGUGGGGAUCAAACAGGAUUAGAUACCCUGGUAGUCCACACAGUCAACGAUGUGCACUAGGUGCUGGGGCGGUAGCUUCGGUGCCGGAGCGAACGUGGUAAGUGCACCGCCUGGGGAGUAUGCUCGCAAGGGUGAAACUUAAAUGAAUUGACGGGG